AACCAAGAUGGCUAAGCUAUAUAUUCAAUGGUAAAAAGAUAGUUAAAUUAAUAAAAGCUUAUUAAAAUUUUGUAUAAAGGUAGAAUUUAAGUAUAAAAUAGAAAUUUAAUUAUAGCUAUAAAAUUGAAGCUAUGAAAGCCUUGAUUGAAACUGGGAUUAGAUACCCCAUUAUUCUUGGAUAUAAAUAAAUACAUGUAUGUUUACCCGAGUACUACGAAUAUAAACAAUUUAAAACUCAAAGAGCUUGGCGGUGUUUUAGACCUUUUAGGGGAACCUGUCUCAUAAUCGAUAAUCCACGUUAUACCUAACCUGCUUUUGUAUACAGCUUGUAUACCGUCGUCGCCAGGUAACUUUUAAAAAAUAAGAAGUUAGCGAAAAAAUAAUUUAAUUUAAACGUUAGAUCAAGGUGCAGCUUAUAUUCAGGUGAAGAUGGGUUACAAUUAUUUUUAAUUAUAAUUACGAAUUUAAAUUUUGAAAAAAAUUUAUGAAGGAGGACUUAAAAGUAAAUUAAAUAAUAUAAAUAUUUUGAAUAAGGCUCUGAAACGUGU
RNAcentral lists this ribosomal RNA (548 nucleotides) under Vitularia miliaris. Its description in RNAcentral is "partial 12S ribosomal RNA". The record is from RNAcentral. Lineage: Eukaryota; Metazoa; Mollusca; Gastropoda; Neogastropoda; Muricidae.